RNAcentral lists this small RNA (623 nucleotides) under Histoplasma capsulatum. RNAcentral's name for it is "hypothetical RNA". RNAcentral also lists the same sequence under 1 other name. Lineage: Eukaryota; Fungi; Ascomycota; Eurotiomycetes; Onygenales; Ajellomycetaceae. The record is from RNAcentral.
GGUGGUAGAGGGGACAAACAUCCCAAUCCAAUCCCUCCAACAAACAAUAACCAUCCUGCAGUCAAGCCACCCCACAUGUGGUUUGUACUGACUCUUGUGUGCAAAACUCGCCCAAGAUACUAGUAGCGAGAACAAGAUAUCCGGUUGAUCGCCAACACAACCAACACAACCAUCCUACUUGUUAUAUAACAACACCAUCUCUGGUGCGGUGUCUUGCUUCUUAGCAGAAUUUGCACAAGGGCCUGGGGUUGUGGUUUCCGACGUAGGUACUCCAUCCAUCUAUCUGACCCUCUCUCUCUCCAACAUAUCAUAGUAUUUAAAAACCAAGGGCCGCACUGUACUCUGCAUAACGUCCCUUUGUUGGCAAACAGAGAAAAAAUAUCUCCGAAGCAGCACAACCUAAACGAUGUGGUGGCAUGUAGUACAUGUCCCGUUCUCCAGCUUUUCGUAAGCUUUUGUCUCACAUCAUCUCAUGCAAACGUGCAAUCGCCAUUCCAACGCCCAUGCCCAAUCCGAAACCUGCAUUCAUAAUAGACCUGUGCGAGUAAGCUGAGGAGAUGGGGUUUCGGAGGAGACCAAAUUUUGCUGGGACCACUAUAGAAAACUUAACCUAAAAUCGAAAA